This 253-nucleotide ribosomal RNA is filed under the name uncultured bacterium. RNAcentral's name for it is "partial 16S ribosomal RNA". It matches the Rfam family "Bacterial small subunit ribosomal RNA", at positions 524 to 776 of the family's 1533-position model. The record is from RNAcentral.
UACAGAGGGUGCAAGCGUUGCUCGGAAUUACUGGGCGUAAAGGGUAAGUAGGUGGUCCUAUUUGUCUAAGGUGAAAUCCCUGGGCUUAACCCAGGAAGUGCCUUGGAAACGGUAGGACUAGAGUCUCGGAGAGGGUCGUGGAAUUCCCGGUGUAGCGGUGAAAUGCGUAGAGAUCGGGAGGAACACCAGUGGCGUAAGCGGCGACCUGGACGAGUACUGACACUCAAUUACGAAAGCGUGGGGAGCAAACAGG